GACGAACGCUGGCGGCGCGCUUAACACAUGCAAGUCGAACGGAAAGGCCUGCUUUCCCUUGUGGAUUGCGGGUACUCGAGUGGCGAACGGGUGAGUAACACGUGAGUGAUCUGCCCCCAACUUGGGUAUAAGCCUGGGAAACUGGGUCUAAUUCCCGAUAGGACUGCAGGGUGGUGCCUGUGGUGGAAAACGAUUUUCUAGUGGUUGGGGAUGAGCUCGCGGCCUAUCAGCUUGUUGGUGGGGUAUGGCCUACCAAGGCGGCGACGGGUAGCCGGCCUGAGAGGGUGGACGGCCACAUUGGGACUGAGAUACGGCCCAGACUCCUACGGGAGGCAGCAGUGGGGAAUAUUGCACAAUGGGCGGAAGCCUGAUGCAGCGACGCCGCGUGGGGGAUGACGGCCUUCGGGUUGUAAACUCCUUUCGACCGCGAGGAAGCCACCUGGUUGGAAGGGUGGUGACGGUAGUGGUAGAAGAAGCACCGGCUAACUACGUG
RNAcentral lists this ribosomal RNA (493 nucleotides) under uncultured bacterium. RNAcentral describes it as "partial 16S ribosomal RNA". It matches the Rfam family "Bacterial small subunit ribosomal RNA", at positions 28 to 507 of the family's 1533-position model. The record is from RNAcentral.